AUGUGGGGUACCUUUCGGGUGUGGGAUGCUCGUUUAACUUCUGUAUUCAUCUUGUUCCUUAUUUACCUGGGUGCACUGCGUUUUCAAAAGCUUCCUGUCAAACCGGCUCCUAUUUCAAUCUGUGUUGGACCGAUCGAUAUACCAAUAAUAAAGUCUCCAGUCAACUGGCAGAAUACAUCGCAUCAACCUGGGAGCAUUAGCCGAUCUGGUACAUCAAUACAUGUUCCUAUGCCCAUUCCAAUCUUGUCUAACUUUGCUAACUUCCCCUUCUCUACCCGUAUCUUGUUCGUUCUGGAAACACAUCUUCCUAUUCCAUCUUUUCCCGAAUCUCCCUUAACGGAAGAAAUAGAAGCUCGAGAAGGAAUACCGCUAAAAACCUAG
RNAcentral lists this ribosomal RNA (381 nucleotides) under Triticum aestivum (bread wheat). RNAcentral's name for it is "partial small subunit ribosomal RNA". The record is from RNAcentral. Lineage: Eukaryota; Viridiplantae; Streptophyta; Magnoliopsida; Poales; Poaceae.